Long non-coding RNA from Odocoileus virginianus texanus, 1460 nucleotides. RefSeq lists it as uncharacterized. Lineage: Eukaryota; Metazoa; Chordata; Mammalia; Artiodactyla; Cervidae. The record is from RefSeq and is a predicted model, not a curated record.
AAUGUAGUCUUGCUCUCAGGCGGGCAGAUGAGAGAGAGCGAUGGGGCGUUUCUUGCGCCACUUGUCCUUCUGGCCCCUUGGUCCAGCAUUUCACUGAGGUCCCUCGAGGUCGAAGACAAGUCCCUGCGUGCGCAGUCUCUCAUUUCUUGCCAAUUUGGGGAGGUUACAAUCAAAUGACUAGGAAAAGAUCUUGGGUUCCAGACCAGGAAUCAGGCCGCCUGUUCUGAUUCCCACCUGCUUCUUUCUGCUGGGACUCGCCACGGACCUCCCUGAGCCUCAUUUUCCCAAAUUCAUUCAGUCGGUAGUUCCUAAGAGCCUAUUCAGCCAAUACUUAGUUCCUUGGAGCCAGCUCUGCGCUCAGCACCGAGCGGUCCCUGGAAAAGCAGUGGUGAGCAGAGAAGAUAACUAGGUCCCUGUUUUGGAAUGCGAGUUACAGGGGAAGACAGCCCAUCCCUACUCAGACGCACAGGAGGGUAAGUUGUGUAACUUGGUAGGUUGCUGUGAAGUUAAAUGAAAUAAUGGAAGGGAAAAUGGUUGCUAAAUUGUGACAUCAUAUUCACUGUCAGAGGAAACUUAACCUGAUUUCUCCCCACCAGUAUGUUCUUACUCCACUCUGAGCCCACAUAAUCAUGGUUUUGGCAAACUUCUGUGAAAGGCCAAAAGUCUGAAUUUUUAUGUGAAAUUACCCAAUUUUGAAAACUCCAUGGACCAAAUAAAACCCUAUUUGUGACCUCUGAAACAAGGAGAUCAAGAUCAGAUUCAGCUUCAGUACAAGGAAAAGAAGUCCCAGGUUGACUGUUGUGCUGCAAUCCUAGAAAGCAGUCAAUCAAAUUAGAAGAGCCCCUAUGAAGAAAACAGAAUCGAUUCUCACCAGGAAUUAGUGUCAAAAAUUGAAAGAUUCUUCAGCAUUCAGAAACUCAUAAGAGGAUAUAAUUACAAUUUUAUGCCUAGACAUUUGAAAAUUUAGAUGGAAUAGAAUUUCUAGGAAAAAAAAAAUCUAUACCUAAAUGGACACAAGAAGUAAUAGAAAAUCGGAAUAAUCCCAUAACUAUUAAAGAAAUUGAAUCUAUAAUUUAAAAACCUUACCCUACACACACACGAAAACUUCAGUCCCAAAUGGCUAUGAAAUCUACCAACCUUUUAAGGAAGAAAUAAUACCAGUAAUAUAUAAUUUCUUCCAAAAGCCAGAUAAAGAACUAAUAUUCCCUGACUGUUAUUGUGAGGCCAGCAUAACACUAAUACCAACAAUAACAGAUAAGAGGCAAUGAAAAUCUCUAAUUUUAUUUCAUUUAAUCUGAGCUGCUUUCAUUAAUAAGGUUUCAUCGAUUUGUUGCAACAAUGAUGGGGACAUCGAAUACCCUGGUUCUGAAACAUGAGCUUACACCAGAACCACCUGGCCAAGUUGAACAUGCAAAAUUGCUUCAGUUGUGUCUACUUCUUGGUGACCCUGUGGACUGUAG